CUGCAGCGGACGGGGAGGAGGGUCAGACCACAGGCCCCCUGGGACCCCUUCCAACGAAGCCGUCCAGAUGCUGCGUCUGUGGGUAAUAAGAGGCCGAGAGGGAGAAAUCUCCACCCUGCCAAGGGCACUCAAGCCCAGCACAGAUGCUCUCCAGCUCCCCCAGCUGCGACAUGGGGAUGAGGCCUCCUAGCCACGGGCCGGGCGGGUGGGACGGAGGCGGCGGGGCCUGGCCGCGUCCACACUAAGCUGGCAGGGAAACGAGGCAUGGCGAAUCUUGCCAGCCUGGUGGUAUCACUCGGCCCAUUUGUGGACUCCAUCAGGCGCGCCUUCCAGGAAUGCCCCCCUGUGCCCUUCUCUGUGUGUGCGGAGCCGGCUGCGGGCAUGGGGGUGCCCAGCGGCAGGCUGAGCUAUCUGGCCACCUACCCCCCAGGUGGUGCACCUGUGCCCAGGGAGGCUGACGAGCGUCUGCUCUGUGCUGGAGACUGUCCCAGGCCCGUGGGUGAGUGAGGCCCAGCUGGCCCCUGGCCUCCUGGAGGCCAAAAUCCGGCCCAGCACACGGGGAAGCACACCUAGUGCAGGUCGGGCCGCAAAGACAGAAAGGGCCUGGGGAGCACGACAUCAGGUGGCAGUCACGGAGGGCCCGGGAAGGAAGCGACUAGACUGGGUGCAGAGACCCGGGGUGGACAUGGGGCAGUGAGGUCAGGGAGGCCAAGAGAGCCAGAUCACAUGGAGUUAACACGUGACCAUUUACAAAGCGAUUUCCCCAUGCAUGUCCUCACGGUGAGACCCGGGGGAGGACCAUGAUUUAUCUCCAUUUUACAGAUAGGGAAAGUUGAGGCUCUGGGAGAUACAGGACCCUGCACAAAUCUCAGCGCUGGGACCAACCCCCCGCCUCCAGGACCGGGUCACUCCCUCCACCGGGGCCGCUGGGAGAAGGACCAGCCCUGCCAAGCCAGGGCCCGGAGAAGGUGGGGCUGAUGAGGGAGCGGGGCUAGCUGAGGACAAAGCACAGCUGAGGUCCCGCAAACGACGACAAUGCCACCCAGGGUGGGAUGUGUGUGACAUUCUUCCGGAAGCUUCCAUUUGUUUUAAUGUUAAUGCCUCGCUGGAGGGAAAUGCAAUCUUUAACUUGACAAUGGCAAGGCCUCCAGUGUCUGGUAGGUUCUCUAAGCAGAUGAAAAUCCUUUGGAAUCUCCCUUUGGCUUACUUGCCCCAACUCCUGGGUAUAUAACCUGCCGCCUCACAGGCCCGGGGGCAGCCGCUCUUCCUGCCCCUGGGUCCCAUCCCCCCUCCCUUCCAGCUUUAAUAAAAU
RNAcentral lists this long non-coding RNA (1312 nucleotides) under Canis lupus familiaris (dog). Its description in RNAcentral is "lncRNA (ENSCAFG00845012237.1)". The record is from RNAcentral. Lineage: Eukaryota; Metazoa; Chordata; Mammalia; Carnivora; Canidae.